GACCUCAAAUCAGGUAAGAGUACCCGCUGAACUUAAGCAUAUCAAUAAGCGGAGGAAAAGAAACUAACCAGGAUUCCCCUAGUAACGGCGAGUGAAGCGGGAACAGCCCAAAUUUUAAAUCGAUCAAAAGGUCGAGUUGUAAUUUGAAGAAUUGCUUUCCACGUCUUUAUCCGAUGAAAAGUCCCUUGGAAUAGGGCAUCACAGAGGGUGAUAAUCCCGUAUUUUAUCGUGAUUUUGACGUCGUGUGUAGUAAUUUCAAAGAGUCGAGUUGUUUGGGAUUGCAGCUCAAAACGGGUGGUAAAUUCCAUCUAAGGCUAAAUAACGGCAAGAGACCGAUAGCGAACAAGUACCGUGAGGGAAAGAUGAAAAGAACUUUGAAAAGAGAGUUAAACAGUACGUGAAAUUGUUGAAAGGGAAACGAUUGAGGCCAGUCAUGCCUGCGAGAAAUCAAUCAUUUUAAUCGGAUUUUCGAAUUUGAUUAUUUGGUGCACUUUUUCGCGUGGCAGGUUAGCAUCAACUUUAAUGGUUGUAAAAUGGUGGUCGGAAUGUGACUCUAUUUUUUUAGAGUGUUAUAGCCGAUUGCAGAUGCAACGAUUGGGGUUGAGGUUUGCGGCAAAUGCCUUUGGGCUACUUACCUUCCUUCUGAUCUGUUCACUUUGGAAUGACAGCUUGCUGACAUUUUAAAGGGCGUUCAAUCAAUAGGGUAGAGUAUUGAUAAAUUUGCCAAGGAUGCUGACGUAAUGACCUUAAACGACCCGUCUUGAAACACGGACCAAGGAGUCUAACAUACGUGCAAGUGUUUGGGUGGCAAACCCAUACGCGAAAUGAAAGUAAAUGUAGGUGGGAUCUGUCGUUUUUCGGCAGUGCAGCAUCAACCGAUCCGGACAUUUAUUGAUAGAUUUGAGUAAGAGCA
This 913-nucleotide ribosomal RNA is filed under the name Archaeospora trappei. RNAcentral's name for it is "eukaryotic LSU rRNA". It matches the Rfam family "Eukaryotic large subunit ribosomal RNA", at positions 1 to 802 of the family's 3401-position model. Lineage: Eukaryota; Fungi; Glomeromycota; Glomeromycetes; Archaeosporales; Archaeosporaceae. The record is from RNAcentral.